This 235-nucleotide unclassified non-coding RNA is filed under the name plant metagenome. Its description in RNAcentral is "partial contains small subunit ribosomal RNA and internal transcribed spacer 1". The record is from RNAcentral.
AAAGUCGUAACAAAGGUUUCCGUAAGGUGAACCUGCGGAAGGAUCAUUAAAAGAGUAAAGGGGUGCUCAGCGCCCGCCUCCAAACCCUUUGUUGUUAAAACUACCUUGUUGCUUUGGCGGGACCGCUCGGUCUCGAGCCGCUGGGGAUUCGUCCCAGGCGAGCGCCCGCCAGAGUUAAAACCAAACUCUUGUUAUUUAACCGGUCGUCUGAGUUAAAAUUUUGAAUAAAUCAAAA